RNAcentral lists this unclassified non-coding RNA (241 nucleotides) under Typhula sp. Its description in RNAcentral is "partial contains 5.8S ribosomal RNA, internal transcribed spacer 2, and large subunit ribosomal RNA". The stretch from base 1 to 52 matches the Rfam family "5.8S ribosomal RNA", at positions 103 to 154 of the family's 154-position model. The record is from RNAcentral. RNAcentral also lists the same sequence under 2 other names. Lineage: Eukaryota; Fungi; Basidiomycota; Agaricomycetes; Agaricales; Typhulaceae.
AACGCACAUUGCGCCCUCUGGUAUUCCGGGGGGCAUGCCUGUUCGAGCGUCAUUACAACCCUCACGCUUUGCGUGGUGUUGGGCCUGCCCCCUAAAGGGCUUGCCUCAAAAUCAGUGGCGGCCGCUGUUCGACCCCUAAGCGUAGUAACUAUUCGUCGCUUCUGGGUGAGAGCAAGCCUGCUAGGAACCCCCACCUUCAAAGGUUGACCUCGGAUCAGGUAGGGAUACCCGCUGAACUUAA